RNAcentral lists this ribosomal RNA (497 nucleotides) under uncultured bacterium. RNAcentral describes it as "partial 16S ribosomal RNA". It matches the Rfam family "Bacterial small subunit ribosomal RNA", at positions 28 to 507 of the family's 1533-position model. The record is from RNAcentral.
GACGAACGCUGGCGGCGUGCCUAAUACAUGCAAGUUGAGCGCUGAAGGUUGGUACUUGUACCAACUGGAUGAGCAGCGAACGGGUGAGUAACGCGUGGGGAAUCUGCCUUUGAGCGGGGGACAACAUUUGGAAACGAAUGCUAAUACCGCAUAAAAACUUUAAACACAAGUUUUAAGUUUGAAAGAUGCAAUUGCAUCACUCAAAGAUGAUCCCGCGUUGUAUUAGCUAGUUGGUGAGGUAAAGGCUCACCAAGGCGAUGAUACAUAGCCGACCUGAGAGGGUGAACGGCCACAUUGGGACUGAGACACGGCCCAAACUCCUACGGGAGGCAGCAGUAGGGAAUCUUCGGCAAUGGACGAAAGUCUGACCGAGCAACGCCGCGUGAGUGAAGAAGGUUUUCGGAUCGUAAAACUCUGUUGGUAGAGAAGAACGUUGGUGAGAGUGGAAAGCUCAUCAAGUGACGGUAACUACCCAGAAAGGGACGGCUAACUACGUG